GACGAACCGUGCGAACGUUGUUCGGAAUCACUGGGCUUAAAGGGCGCGUAGGCGGCCGUCCGAGUCCGGGGUGAAAUCUUUCGGCCUAACCGGAAAAGGGCCUUGGAUACUGGACGGCUCGAGGGGGGUAGGGGCAAGCGGAACUUCCGGUGGAGCGGUGAAAUGCGUUGAUAUCGGAAGGAACGCCGGCGGCGAAAGCGGCUUGCUGGACCCCUCCUGACGCUGAGGCGCGAAAGCCAGGGGAGCGAACG
Molecule: ribosomal RNA, 251 nt
Filed under: uncultured prokaryote
Description: partial 16S ribosomal RNA
Rfam family: Bacterial small subunit ribosomal RNA
Source: RNAcentral